RNAcentral lists this ribosomal RNA (253 nucleotides) under uncultured bacterium. RNAcentral describes it as "partial 16S ribosomal RNA". It matches the Rfam family "Bacterial small subunit ribosomal RNA", at positions 524 to 776 of the family's 1533-position model. The record is from RNAcentral.
UACGUAGGGUGCGAGCGUUGUCCGGAAUUAUUGGGCGUAAAGGGCUCGUAGGCGGUUUGUCGCGUCGGGAGUGAAAUCCACUGGCUUAACUGGUGGCUUGCUUUCGAUACGGGCAGACUGGAGGUAUGCAGGGGAGAACGGAAUUCCUGGUGUAGCGGUGAAAUGCGCAGAUAUCAGGAGGAAUACCAGUGGCGAAGGCGGCCUUCUGGACGGAUACUGACGCUGAGGCGCGAAAGCCAGGGGAGCAAACGGG